RNAcentral lists this long non-coding RNA (1187 nucleotides) under Lactuca sativa (garden lettuce). RNAcentral's name for it is "long non-coding RNA (LSAT_LNC010262)". Lineage: Eukaryota; Viridiplantae; Streptophyta; Magnoliopsida; Asterales; Asteraceae. The record is from RNAcentral.
ACUACAGGUGAGUUCAUACCCCUAAAUCAAUCUUUUAAAUGUUUUUAAAUGCUUUAAUUGGGGGGGGGAAUACAGGUUGAAUCAUGCUAGUUAUUAUAUCAAUUUAUGUGAUUAAUAACCAGCAUACUAUAGGAUUUACUACACUUUAAGCUGUUUUACCAAACAGAUUUCUGUAAAUGGCUUUCCAAAAGGUUUUACAAACUGACAUCAAGUCAUAUUUCUUAGUUGUUAAACUUUACAAAGGUUUUUACAAAACUCUGUUAUACUUUGUUAUCAAAGGAUAUACUUUUGAAAUGCUUUAUAAAAUGACAUCAAGUCAUUAUUAUUUUUUUAUUGUUCAAAACCCUUAAAUGUUUUACAAAACUUCUUUUAUACUUUAAAUUGUUAAAUGCAUGCCUAGAUAUGUAUAGUUAUAUAAGUAAUGUUUGAAGGACUUAGGAAGGCUAACCCGCUUUAUUUCCUUUUCCCCGUUGGGAUGUGGUCUGGUAGGGUAUCGGGUAUCCGUCCGAAGGUCCUUUAACUAUCAGUUAUAUAUCAUGUAUACAUAUAGAGACAUAAAAGUUCCAUCAGUCGGUACAAUACCUUUGGGUAGCAAAGGUAUACUUAGAUUAUACACGUUCAUUACUAGUAACUAUAAUAGGUAUAGUUAGGAGAUACUACUUACCAUUCCAAGUACAAGGAAUCAUCACAAGAGUCAGUUCAUUCAUGAGUACGUUUACAUAGAUAUGCUUACAUGAGUACGUUUACAUAGAUACAUUUACAUAAAUAUGCUUACAUGAGUAAGUUUCAAUAGAUACGCUUACAUGACUACGUUUACAUGAAUACACUUACGUGGAUGCACUUACUUGGAUACCUUUACAUAGAUACUUAGUUAAAAGCAUGCCCGUAUAUGUAUAGUUAUAUAAAUAAUGUUUAAAGGACUUAGAAAGGCUAACCUGCUUUGUUUCCUUUUCCUCGUUGGGAUGUGGUCUGGUAGGGUAUCAGGUAUCUAUCUGAAGGUCGUCUAAAUAUUAGUUAUAUAUCAUGUGUACAUAUACGGACAUAAUAGUNGUCAGUCAGUUCAGUACCUUUGGGUAGCAAAGGUAUACGUUCAUAUAUCCCUAGUAAGCUAUUAUAGGUAUAGUUUGGGCUUAUAUAUGAUUUGGUAAUAAAUAUGGAUUUUAACCUAGCGAUUCGUUGCGGAAGUC